GACGAACGCUGGCGGCGUGCCUAAUACAUGCAAGUCGAGCGAGCUUGCCUAGAUGAUUUUAGUGCUUGCACUAAAUGAAACUAGAUACAAGCGAGCGGCGGACGGGUGAGUAACACGUGGGUAACCUGCCCAAGAGACUGGGAUAACACCUGGAAACAGAUGCUAAUACCGCAUAAGCCCACAGCUCGGCAUCGAGCAGAGGGAAAAGGAGUGAUCCGCUUUGAGAUGGCCUCGCGUCCGAUUAGCUAGUUGGUGAGGUAACGGCCCACCAAGGCAACGAUCGGUAGCCGGACUGAGAGGUUGAACGGCCACAUUGGGACUGAGACACGGCCCAG
RNAcentral lists this ribosomal RNA (335 nucleotides) under uncultured bacterium. Its description in RNAcentral is "bacterial SSU rRNA". It matches the Rfam family "Bacterial small subunit ribosomal RNA", at positions 28 to 334 of the family's 1533-position model. The record is from RNAcentral.